This 253-nucleotide ribosomal RNA is filed under the name uncultured bacterium. RNAcentral's name for it is "partial 16S ribosomal RNA". It matches the Rfam family "Bacterial small subunit ribosomal RNA", at positions 524 to 776 of the family's 1533-position model. The record is from RNAcentral.
GACGGAGGGUGCUAGCGUUGUUCGGAAUGACUGGGCGUAAAGGGCGCGUAGGCGGCCGCUUGCGUCGGAUGUGAAAGCCCGGGGCUCAACCCCGGAACGGCAUCUGAUACGGGGCGGCUCGAGACCGAGAGAGGUGAGUGGAAUUCCCAGUGUAGAGGUGAAAUUCGUAGAUAUUGGGAAGAACACCGGUGGCGAAGGCGGCGAGCUGGUCCAUUACUGACGCUGAGGCGCGACAGCGUGGGGAGCAAACAGG